AAAGGGCGGCUACACAUGCAAGUCGAGCGCGCCUUUCGGGGUGAGCGGCGGACGGGUUAGUAACGCGUGGGAAUAUACCCUUUGGUACGGAAUAGCCUCUGGAAACGGAGAGUAAUACCGUAUGAGCCCUUCGGGGGAAAGAUUUAUCGCCAAAGGAUUAGCCCGCGUUAGAUUAGGUAGUUGGUGGGGUAAUGGCCUACCAAGCCUACGAUCUAUAGCUGGUUUUAGAGGAUGAUCAGCAACACUGGGACUGAGACACGGCCCAGUCUCCUACGGGAGGCAGCAGUGGGGAAUCUUGGACAAUGGGGGCAACCCUGAUCCAGCCAUGCCGCGUGAGUGAUGAAGGCCCUAGGGUCGUAAAGCUCUUUCGCCUGUGAAGAUAAUGACGGUAGCAGGUAAAGAAUCCCCGGCUAACUCCGUGCCAGCAGCCGCGGUAAUACGGAGGGGGUUAGCGUUGUUCGGAAUUACUGGGCGUAAAGCGCACGUAGGCGGACUGGAAAGUUGGGGGUGAAAUCCCAGGGCUCAACCCCGGAACUGCCUCCAAAACUAUCAGUCUAGAGUUCGAGAGAGGUGAGUGGAAUUCCGAGUGUAGAGGUGAAAUUCGUAGAUAUUCGGAGGAACACCAGUGGCGAAGGCGGCUCACUGGCUCGAUACUGACGCUGAGGUGCGAAAGUGUGGGGAGCAAACAGGAUUAGAUACCCUGGUAGUCCACACCGUAAACGAUGAAUGCCAGUCGUCGGGUAGCAUGCUAUUCGGUGAACACACCUAACGGAUUAAGCAUUCCGCCUGGGGAGUACGGUCGCAAGAUUAAAACUCA
RNAcentral lists this ribosomal RNA (817 nucleotides) under uncultured bacterium. RNAcentral describes it as "bacterial SSU rRNA". It matches the Rfam family "Bacterial small subunit ribosomal RNA", at positions 41 to 903 of the family's 1533-position model. The record is from RNAcentral.